UCCUUGUCGGGUAAGUUCCGACCCGCACGAAAGGCGUAACGAUCAGGGUGCUGUCUCGGAGAGAGGCUCGGCGAAAUAGACAUGUCUGUGAAGAUGCGGACUACCUGCACCUGGACAGAAAGACCCUAUGAAGCUUUACUGUAUCUUGGAAUUGGGUUUGGGCUUUGCUUGCGCAGGAUAGGUGGGAGGCUUUGAAGAUGUUCUUGCGGGAACAUUGGAGCCAAUGGUGAGAUACCACUCUAGUAAGGCUAAAAUUCUAACUUCGAACCGUUAUCCGGUCGAGGAACAGUUUCAGGUGGGCAGUUUGACAGGGG
RNAcentral lists this ribosomal RNA (314 nucleotides) under Mesodinium pulex. Its description in RNAcentral is "partial Bacterial large subunit ribosomal RNA". It matches the Rfam family "Bacterial large subunit ribosomal RNA", at positions 1966 to 2279 of the family's 2925-position model. Lineage: Eukaryota; Ciliophora; Litostomatea; Cyclotrichida; Mesodiniidae. The record is from RNAcentral.